This 219-nucleotide unclassified non-coding RNA is filed under the name Hevea brasiliensis (rubber tree). Lineage: Eukaryota; Viridiplantae; Streptophyta; Magnoliopsida; Malpighiales; Euphorbiaceae. The record is from RNAcentral.
UGGUCUUGUUAUAAUGUGUUUAGAUUUAUAAUUUGAAUGUGUUACAUUUUAAAUGUUUUGGUUCAAUUUUAGGUUUAUAUGAAUGGUGCUAGUUUAGAGCAUGGUAGGGAAUUUGCAUUUGUGUUUAUGGGCAUAAGUUGAUAAUGAUAAAUCUAAACACAUUAUAACAAGACCAUAAAAGACCUCAUCAUUCUACUGAAUUGCCAAGGACAAAUGAGA